CAGCAGCCGCGGUAAUACGAAGGGGGCUAGCGUUGCUCGGAAUGACUGGGCGUAAAGGGCGCGUAGGCGGCGGCCAAAGUCAGGCGUGAAAUUCCCGGGCUCAACCUGGGGGCUGCGUUUGAUACUUGGUUGCUUGAGUGGGGAAGAGGGUCGUGGAAUUCCCAGUGUAGAGGUGAAAUUCGUAGAUAUUGGGAAGAACACCGGUGGCGAAGGCGGCGACCUGGUCCUUUACUGACGCUGAGGCGCGAAAGCGUGGGGAGCAAACAGGAUUAGAGACCCCCGUAGUCCCUGUCUCUUAUAC
RNAcentral lists this ribosomal RNA (301 nucleotides) under uncultured bacterium. RNAcentral describes it as "partial 16S ribosomal RNA". It matches the Rfam family "Bacterial small subunit ribosomal RNA", at positions 509 to 807 of the family's 1533-position model. The record is from RNAcentral.